CUACCAGCGCUGGUCUUUAUAAAAAGGAGAAAAAAAAACGCAAACGUGGGUUUGGAUCAACCUCUCUUAAACGCUCUUCUGAGUUCUCUCUUAGAGCUCUCUCUAACCGGUGAAACCCAUGAGUUUGGUCACCGGCAAUACCACCACACAAAGGACUUCCCGAUUCCACCGCAGGUUCGACGCCAUCAACGCCGUUUAUCGGAGUUUUGUCAGAUCGGAACCCACAUGGUGAUGGUGGCGGUGCUUUGAUCUGGAUCUUGCCUUCAACAGACUCUCUCAUCCUUUUUGUGGCAGCGUCGUGGAUUGUGGCUGGCCUUUGGAUUUCGGAUUUGGGUAGUGUCAGGAGACUAUGAAGAUCGACGAUGAAGCCGAUCUUGUGAUAUGGUGUGUUUUUUCUGUUUUCUCUUAUGAGGUUGAUGAUAGUCGGGGUUUGAUUUUCUAUGUCGUUUGGCUGAGAUUUUUGCUAGUUUUUUGGGGUUUCUGUUGGGAUUUUUAAAAGAUUUCAUUGGGAAUUUACAGAGAGAUUUAGGUGAGUUGUUUGGCUUGGAUUUUUGCUCUUUUUUUUUUUUUUGGGUUUCUAUUAGUUUGAAAGGGAUUUUUUUUUUUUGUGAUUUUUGCUAGUGUGUUGUUGGAGGUUGAGACAGAGAAAAGAAAUUUUCUGUCGUGAAGGGAGAGAAGAAGAAAAGGGAAAAAAAAAAUUUAAUAAAUGGUGCACAAACGGUGUUAGUAACCAAGGAACAAAUUGCUCAAUUUUUUUAACUUUUAAAUGUGUUUGGUAUUUUCUCAAAUUACAGAGAGUUUUUUAUAAUUUACUCAUAUAUAUAUAUAUAGAAAAAAAUAUAUAUAUACCAUAAAAUUCAAUAUUAGUGGAGGGAAUAAACCCAUAAAGGCCAAGAAAGAAAUAUGAGUAUAGUGUACAAGCAUUUUGUAGAUCACAUAAUAUUAGUGGAUUAUCAAGAAAGAACAGCUCCUUUACCUAAAUCCACUAUCACACACGUGACACAAUAACACAAGAAAUUUGAGGUCCUUAUUGAGUUCUUCAAAAGUUUAAGGAACAACCGUUUCUAUGGAGCUAAUCAGACGAAGAUCCGGUUAAUGUAUGUCCCAAAACUACAUAUUAAGUUUUUUAUUUUUAAAAAUAUUUUUUUGAAAAUUACAAAUAGUCAAUUUUUUUUUCAAUUUUCGAGAAAGCUUUUUUUCAAAAAUAAAAAUUAAUUGUGCUCUUAAAAAUCCAUCAGAUAAUGAUCAUAGGUUCACAUUAGUAAAAUCCAUCAGAUCUCAUAGGGUCCCACUCCCUCCAAUAAUACUGUGUCUGACCAGUGUUAAGUCUUGGUCUGUGCCAGAGGAUCCUGGUAUAGAUUUGAACUUUCAAGACCCAUAUUUUUGUGGGUCUAUGAGCGUUUAAUGCGAUGGUCUCGCAAUUUGUUGAGCCGUCAUUAAUUGGUGUGGUUGAGACUUGAGACUUGUGAGAGAGAGUGGGUAGUUAGAAAAAUGAUGAUAUAUACGGAUUGCAGAGUCACGUAAUAAUGACUAAUUAAUUAUAAGGACCGUACUUUUCCUCCAACCAAUUUGGAAAGCAAAGUUCAUCCACACCCAACUAUAUACCAAUUGAAAUACACAUUCUAUCACCUCACCACCACGAGGAGUCACAGAGCUAUUAAAGAAUGACCGAAUUGAUGAAAGCGAUUGGAUUAACUUGAUUCGAUUAUUUGGCACGAAGCCACAAACAUGGAGGGUGUCAACUCAAAACUGUACAUCUUUAAUUUCAAUGUGAAUUAGAUUAAAUCUCAUUUGGUGGCAGUUGAAAUGUACAUGCAUACAUAUGUGAUUAUCUCGCUUAGAAAUUUGGUGGUUUCAUUCAUUGUUGUAAAAUUGAAAAGUCUAAAAAAUUUGGUGGUUUUAUUCGCACGCGAAAAUUAUUAUUGAUAAUUA
This is a long non-coding RNA of Quercus robur (English oak), 1932 nucleotides long. RefSeq lists it as uncharacterized. Lineage: Eukaryota; Viridiplantae; Streptophyta; Magnoliopsida; Fagales; Fagaceae. The record is from RefSeq and is a predicted model, not a curated record. The transcript is spliced from 2 exons.